This 280-nucleotide ribosomal RNA is filed under the name uncultured bacterium. RNAcentral describes it as "partial 16S ribosomal RNA". It matches the Rfam family "Bacterial small subunit ribosomal RNA", at positions 75 to 353 of the family's 1533-position model. The record is from RNAcentral.
CUUGCAAACUGGAGAUGGCGACCGGCGCACGGGUGAGUAACACGUAUCUAACCUGCCGAUAACUCGGGGAUAGCCUUUCGAAAGAAAGAUUAAUACCCGAUGGCAUAAUAGAACCGCAUGGUUUGAUUAUUAAAGAAUUUCGGUUAUCGAUGGGGAUGCGUUCCAUUAGGCAGUUGGUGGGGUAACGGCCCACCAAACCUUCGAUGGAUAGGGGUUCUGAGAGGAAGGUCCCCCACAUUGGAACUGAGACACGGUCCAAACUCCUACGGGAGGCAGCAUG